RNAcentral lists this long non-coding RNA (1007 nucleotides) under Homo sapiens (human). RNAcentral describes it as "HSALNT0376584". The record is from RNAcentral. Lineage: Eukaryota; Metazoa; Chordata; Mammalia; Primates; Hominidae.
CCAAAGGGAAGUUUCACAUGAAGAGCAAUCAAGUCGUUUAGCCCUCAGCCUGAUGACCACCCUACUGACUGCUGCCCGUGAUAUAAUUCUUCCUGGAACUUGAAUGGGAACCUCGUUGUGAAUAAAAAGAGUUAGAGAGAUUAUAUUGCCACCAUGGAAGAGGAGGAGCUGGAAGGAGAUUCUGAAGCCUUGGGACAAAGCUGGUGCUGCGGCAGUCAGAGCAGAGAGACAGAAUGAUGCCACUGAUUGCUGUGCUUUUGGAGACUGUUCUACUUCUGAAUUUCCAAUUCAGUGAAAUAAUGCCUGUCCUCAUUUAUUAGCCUUUUAGAGCUCUGCUGCUGUCCUGUCCAUAAGGUUAUUUGUUGGUAAAAUAUUAAACUACAGGAAACAUAACAGCCUCAGAAAAGCAUGACUCAACAUGAGCCUGGGACAACUCAGGGUCUCUCUACUGUGCACAGCAUUUGUUCUGCUUUCAAGGCUCCCCACAGCAUCUGAAGCUUUACAUCCCUGGAGGCAACUGCCCAUAUGUUUACCUUUAUUACCAACUGCAGUUUCCAGGCAUCUGCUAAAUUACAAUUUUGAGUGCUUAAUGGUGAUUUCAUUUGUGUAAAAAAAAAGCGGGGAGACUCUUUGCCCCUCAUUAACUUAGAAUGGCAUUGCACCACACCGUAGAGCUGGCAUAUAGGUAUAUUGAAAGAAGUGGGUAGAGCUAAGAGGAUUAGAAGCUUAUGUGUGCCGUGAGGAGAAGCUGAGACUCAGGUUAGCAUCUCACUGUAUUUCUGUGAGGAGGAGAUAUUGGUGCAAGAUCUCAAGCAGACAAGCAAAAUCCAUCCCUAUCCAACAACUCCUACCUAUUGAGCAAAUGAUUUAAAAAGUGGUUACUGUGCCAUCAGAAAAACUGUUGGGGAUUGAUGUGUCUCUUUUUGUUGAACUGGCUGAGUAGAUAAGUACACAGAAUAACUUAUACCAUCACUUUAUAUUUACGCUUACCUAAUAUGAUAUUGUUA